AAAAUCUUAAGUUAAAAAAACUAUUAAUUUUCAAAAUUAAAAUUAGGUAGCCUAGAUUUUG
RNAcentral lists this transfer RNA (61 nucleotides) under Endomyzostoma sp. MZ-2009. RNAcentral's name for it is "tRNA-Trp". The record is from RNAcentral. Lineage: Eukaryota; Metazoa; Annelida; Myzostomida; Endomyzostomatidae.